This 579-nucleotide long non-coding RNA is filed under the name Salmo salar (Atlantic salmon). RNAcentral describes it as "lncRNA (ENSSSAG00000098349.1, ENSSSAG00000107489.1)". The record is from RNAcentral. Lineage: Eukaryota; Metazoa; Chordata; Actinopteri; Salmoniformes; Salmonidae.
CUCCUUCGGCGAAACCUCUGUCUCUUUCUCCAGCGAAUGACGGGGAUGAGGUCCUGUUCGGGUGUCUGGAGUAAAUCCCUCUCAUCCGACUCAUUAAAGAAACAUUAUUCGUCCAGUUCAAGAUCCGAUACCUGACCCUCUGCUGUGGCCAGGACCUGGGCUCAGGAAUCAGACGAAUUCUGAGAAAAAUUGGAACAGUGGAGCUGUGGACAGGCUACUCCUUGAAGGGCAGGAAGGGGAAGAGGGCCUUCAAUGAGCUAUCAAUCUAUGAUGCCGUCACAAGAGCGGGUCGAGGAAGCGACAGUGGAUGAGGAUGGAGCUGCAGCACCUGAAUUAACUUUUAGCUUUAAGCAGUUUUACAGUUCUUGAUUGGAGUGCAGUGUUCAUGUUUUUACUGACUUGUUUUUUGUGAUCUUAUUGCUGUCAUUUUGGCCUGAUUCACACAAUCUCCUCUGCACAGUUGAUGUUGAGAUGUGUCUUGUACUUGAGCUCUGUGAAGCAUUUAUUUGGGCUGCAAUUUCUGAGGCUGGUAACUCUUUUGAACUUAUCCUCUGCAGAAGAGGUAACUCUGGGUCUUCC